GUGAGGAAUAUUGCGCAAUGGAGGCAACUCUGACGCAGCCAUGCCGCGUGCAGGAAGAAGGCGCUACGCGUUGUAAACUGCUUUUAACCGGGAAGAAACCCCAGGACGUGUCCUGGGUUGACGGUACCGGAGGAAUAAGCACCGGCUAACUUCGUGCCAGCAGCCGCGGUAAUACGAAGGGUGCAAGCGUUAUCCGGAUUCAUUGGGUUUAAAGGGUGCGUAGGCGGACAGUUACGUCAGUGGUGAAAUCCUGCAGCUUAACUGUAGGCUUGCCAUUGAUACUGGCGCGCUUGAGUGCGCUUGAAGUGGGCGGAAUGUGCCGUGUAGCGGUGAAAUGCUUAGAUAUGGCACAGAACACCAAUUGCGAAGGCAGCUCACUAAGGCGAUACUGACGCUGAGGCACGAAAGCGUGGGGAUCGAACAGGAUUAGAUACCCGUGUAGUCC
Molecule: ribosomal RNA, 445 nt
Filed under: uncultured bacterium
Lineage: Bacteria
Description: partial 16S ribosomal RNA
Rfam family: Bacterial small subunit ribosomal RNA
Source: RNAcentral